CCUACGGGGUGCAGCAGUAGGGAAUCUUCGUCAAUGGGCGAAAGCCUGACCGAGCAACGCCGCGUGAAUGAAGAAGGCCUUCGGGUUGUAAAAUUCUUUUAUUAGGGAAGAAAGGUGAUAGGAGGAAAUGACUAUCAAUUGACGGUACCUUAUGAGAAAGCCACGGCUAACUACGUGCCAGCAGCCGCGGGGAUACGUAGGUGGCAAGCGUUAUCCGGAAUUAUUGGGCGUAAAGAGCGCGCAGGUGGUUAAUUAAGUCUGAUGUGAAAGCCCACGGCUUAACCGUGGAGGUGCAUUGGAAACUGGUUGACUUGAGUGCAGAAGAGGGAAGUGGAAUUCCAUGUGUAGCGGUGAAAUGCGUAGAGAUAUGGAAGAACACCAGUGGCGAAGGCAGCUUCCUGGUCUGCAACUGACACUGAUGCGCGAAAGCGUGGGGAGCAAACAGGAUUAGAUACCCGUGUAGUC
This 465-nucleotide ribosomal RNA is filed under the name uncultured bacterium. RNAcentral's name for it is "partial 16S ribosomal RNA". It matches the Rfam family "Bacterial small subunit ribosomal RNA", at positions 338 to 795 of the family's 1533-position model. The record is from RNAcentral.